Pseudopipra pipra is the source of this 1249-nucleotide long non-coding RNA. RefSeq lists it as uncharacterized. The record is from RefSeq and is a predicted model, not a curated record. The transcript has 4 exons. NCBI's taxonomy places the organism in Eukaryota, Metazoa, Chordata, Aves, Passeriformes, Pipridae.
UUGAUAAUACCUUUGUAUUGCUAGAAAUGUCCUAAACUCUCAGUGGAUGAUUAGUAGAACAUGGCAUCCUCUUGUUGUCUUUAUGCUGUAGGGAUUGCCUGUAUUAUUAAAAUAGAAUUUCCACCAUUUUAGUUUACCGGAGUUUCAGAAGACAGAAAAUAACAUUUCACUCGGCCCUGCUUGGCUGUUCCUGUCCCCGGAUGGCUCAGAGAUCCUUCCUUCAAGGAAAUCCGUGUCCCAGUGGUUCCAUACACACACCAACAUGCAUUUCUGUGUCAGCAAAACAGUUCUGACAACUGCAGGGAAUGCUGCUGUUUGAGGGUAUUCCAAGGAAAUAACCUCUGCUGGGAAAUGCCUGUAAGGGUUCCACGGGGGUGGCUCAACCCCACUGUUUUCACUGGAGGAAAACCCGCCUGGUUUCUGGGAGCACAUCCUUGCCCCAGUGGGAUGUGCUGGCAUUCCGUUCCUCCCGUGUUCCACUUGUGUCCCUCAUCAGAAGGGAACAUGCAGCCACGUUCUGUGUGCCCCAGAGCUGGGUCCUGCAGUGCAGCUCUCCCUCCUGCCUGCUCCAUCUGUGGCAAUCCCACCCAGGGGAGAUGUUGCAAGGCAUCUCUGAUUAACACAGGGCUAUAUAACCCUGUUUGCCAAAGCAAGACUAAGAGAGAAGGGAGGGACAGACCUUGAGACCUCAGAAGCAGAGCCGGGGAGGACACAGAGCCAGAGCCAGUGGGACAGCAAUGCCAGCCUCUGGGAAUGUGAGGAGAAGAGGAGGAGGAUGCCUUCCCAAGAGGAAGGCUCCUGCCCCACCUCAGGACUCGUGGCUGCACAGCAGGAAACUCUAUCACAGCAGAGAAGGCUCAAAUCAAUUCUGGUGGGAAGCAGCACCCUGUGCUGCCCAGAAAGCAAAGUCCAGUAUUGAAGCUGAUCCAUUUAGUGCCAAAGAGGUCACAAAUUGGAGCAUCUUCACUGCCCAUGUGGAUGGUUGGUGACAACUUCAAACCUGGCAUAUGUAGAAAGGACAACACUGCAUUUCUAAGACCCUAUGGCUGAAAUAUGAAAAUAUUAUGCUCCAAAUAGGAGCAGCUGUGGCUGAGAUGAACAGUUCUCAUCAAUCCAGUGUGAAAAUAAACAUUAUACACAAUGAUCAGCCCUCAGCUGAAUGGAGGCUGGGAGGUCUGUACUGGUCCAACCUCACAUCCAGCUGGUGAUUUAUCAGUAAACAUUUCUGUAUUACCUACAGACUCUCAGA